This 324-nucleotide unclassified non-coding RNA is filed under the name soil metagenome. RNAcentral's name for it is "partial contains 5.8S ribosomal RNA, internal transcribed spacer 2, and large subunit ribosomal RNA". The stretch from base 1 to 120 matches the Rfam family "5.8S ribosomal RNA", at positions 35 to 154 of the family's 154-position model. The record is from RNAcentral.
GAUGAAGAACGCAGCGAAAUGCGAUAAGUAGUGUGAAUUGCAGAAUUCAGUGAAUCAUCGAAUCUUUGAACGCACAUUGCGCCCCUUGGUAUUCCAUGGGGCAUGCCUGUUCGAGCGUCAUUUGUACCUUCAAGCUUUGCUUGGUGUUGGGUGUUUGUCCCGAGGAACUCGCCUUAAAGUAAUUGGCAGCCAGUGUUUGGUUUUGAAGCGCAGCACAAGUCGCGAUUCAAGGCUACACGCCCGCUUCCACAAGCCUUUUUUCACUUUUGACCUCGGAUCAGGUAGGGAUACCCGCUGAACUUAAGCAUAUCAAUAAGCGGAGGA